RNAcentral lists this ribosomal RNA (1200 nucleotides) under Triticum aestivum (bread wheat). Its description in RNAcentral is "partial small subunit ribosomal RNA". Lineage: Eukaryota; Viridiplantae; Streptophyta; Magnoliopsida; Poales; Poaceae. The record is from RNAcentral.
AUGGGGCGACGCGGCCCGCGCGGCGCCCUCCUGGAGGCCGCCCUUCUCGUCGCCGAGCAGGUUCUUCCACGGACCAGGCCCGUGGCGGUGAGGGACUACUACGACGUGCUCGGUGUGAGGAAGGACGCCGGCCAGGGCGAGAUCAAGAAGGCGUAUUACGCGCUUGCGAAGAAGCUCCAUCCAGAUACAAAUAAAGGCGAUGCCGAUGCAGAAAAAAAGUUUCAAGAGGUUCAGAAAGCUUAUGAGACUUUGAAGGAUGAAGAAAAAAAAGCGGUCUAUGAUCAGGUUGGCCCUGAUCAAUAUGAGAGGGCUGCUGCUGGAGGUGGUGGAGCUGGCGGAUUCGAAGGCGGUUUUGGAAAUCCUUUUGAGGAUAUUUUCGGCACUGGUCGUACUGGCGGAAUGAAUGAUUUCCUCCGGAACAUCUUCAAAGAUAGAGAAUCUGGUGGACAGGACGUUAAGGUUAAGCUUGAGUUGUCAUUUAUGGAAGCAGUUGAAGGAUGCAAAAAGACAAUCAACUUCCAGACUUUAGUAACAUGCGAAACCUGCAAUGGAGCUGGUGUACCUGCGGGAACCAAACCCGAAACUUGUCUAGCUUGCAGGGGUUCUGGAUAUAUGGUUCUGCAAACUGGUCCCUUCAGAAUGCAAUCAACAUGCACGCAGUGUGGUGGAUCUGGCAAGACUGUAAAGGAUUUCUGCAAGUCGUGCAGGGGGAAGAAGGUUGUGCCAGGAAUAAAAACAGUCUCUAUUGAUAUAGCGCCUGGUACGGAUGAUGAGGAUGUCAUGAAAGUGCUUAGAUCAGGUCAAGCAGAUCCAGACGGUCUUCGUGCUGGUGACCUUUAUGUAGCCAUUAAGGUUCGUGAGGAUCCAGUAUUCCGGAGAGAGAAAGGUGAUAUCCAUGUAGAUGCUGUCUUAAACGUGACUCAGGCAAUUCUGGGAGGUACUGUUCAAGUGCCAACUCUCGCUGGAGAUGUUGUUCUAAAGGUUAAGCCUGGUACUCAACCUGGUCAGAAGGUUGUUCUGAGAGGAAAAGGAAUCAAGACAAGAAACUCGUAUUCAUAUGGAGACCAAUAUGUCCAUUUCAAUGUCAAAAUCCCUGUGAAUUUGACGCAGAAACAGCGCAUGCUUCUCGAGGAGUUCGAGAAGGAAGAGAAGGGCGAGGACGACAAGGACGCGGAAAAGGCAGCUGGCGCAUCAGGAUAG